CAGUACUGUACGGUCUGUGACACUCAAGUCUCUCAUCAUGGCAAGCUACCCAGGCCCUUCGAACAAGAAACCCAGAAGGAUGUGUCACUUUGAUCGCAAUUGGAUUGCCGAGUUCCCUGGAAUCGGGAGUAGCUCAAAAGGUGAUACUUAUGUUCGAUGUUCGAUGUGUGCCUCCGAUUUAAGCUACUGUAACAUCAUUGCACCACUAUAGUUAUACCUCAUUAUCUGCGCUGUACUGAAAAGUGUAUGCUUAUAAUAUUCGUCAACCUUUUUUUAUCUACUAACUGUCCCUGAAGGCUAUUCGAAAAAAAAGUUGGAGCCUAUGGGGAUGACACUUGGGAGUCAGUAUAGAAGUUCUUGUCCUUAUCCCUACUACUAUCCGACUAGAAAAACAUUUGCAAUGUGAAAAAUUGCUAGGAUUGGUCAGGGGAACCACAAAAAAGCGUGGGAACAAGAAAUCAGACGAGAGCAUAACUCCAAUCCGUUACAACGUCAAUCACAUGUAUACUGGUAGUUUUCCCAUGUUUUCCCAGCCAAUAUGCCACGCAAUUUUUACUGGUGGAAUGAUGACCAAUCCCUAUAUAUAUUUAUUAUACAUCCAUUUUAGAAUGUGGGGCACAUAAUCAUGAUGAUUUGUGAUGAAUUGAUGUUCCUAAUACAUGCAGUGUUGAGCACAGGUACACACAGUCCAUCCAUGCGUAGUAACAUGCACGGACCGUACUGGUGACUGCAUGGAAUGAUGUGGUGGAUGGAAGCUGAUAGGUGGAUCUGGAACACAGUCUAUUAUUUAAUAUACUAUGUAUUGUACAUGUUCAUGACGUUGUAACGGAUUGGAGUUAUGCUCUCGUCUGAUUUCUUGUUCCCACGCUUUUUUGUGGUUCCCCUGGCCAAUCCUAGCAAUUUUUCACAUUGCAAAUGUUUUUCUAGUCGGAUUCCCUUCUUUUUCAGUACAGUUUACGUAUCAUGACAUGCAUAAGUGGAACGUCAAGAGGCAGUACAAGAAGAGAAGACAGGACUAAUCAGAUAUCUUCUCGAAUAUCUCUGGACUAAUAAUUAUAGUAUAAUGAGUAAUAAUUUAUUGCUUGAUAAUUAUGUUGAAUUUGCGAA
Halichondria panicea is the source of this 1107-nucleotide long non-coding RNA. RefSeq lists it as uncharacterized. The record is from RefSeq and is a predicted model, not a curated record. Lineage: Eukaryota; Metazoa; Porifera; Demospongiae; Suberitida; Halichondriidae. The transcript is spliced from 2 exons.